Molecule: long non-coding RNA, 1352 nt
Filed under: Capra hircus (goat)
Lineage: Eukaryota; Metazoa; Chordata; Mammalia; Artiodactyla; Bovidae
Description: lncRNA (ENSCHIG00000000643.1)
Source: RNAcentral
CUUCACAAAAGUGUGCCCAUGUGCUUAAAUGUCUUCAUUCCCUCCUCUUCUCCAUGUCAUAUAAUUAACUCAUACUGAUAUCUCAAGUUGUAGUUCCAGAAUUGGCUGUGCCAGGAUCCCAAGCAUUAUGUCUCUCUCUCCAAUCACAAGAAUUAUCUGAAAAUCUUUCUUCUCAACAUCCAUAGAAUUCAGAGUGGUGCUGUUCCAUGCCACACAUCACAAUCAAUGGCACUUCUGUCUCUAGGAUAGAAGCAUCUUGAGGCCACAAAACUAUGUGCUGCGAUAUGAAGAGAAAUGCCAUUGUUCUUACUGGAUGAUUUCCUAUCAGAGCCCAUCAGGGGGUCCAGGCAUUUACAGUGAAGCCCAGUAAUUGUACUAUCUUGCUUGGUGGGUCCUGCCCCUCAACCUUCUUCUGCUCUACUCUCCAGCUCAAGGAAUGGCAUCAUUGUUUCCUAACUGACCAGGUUCCAUUUUGUGAGCAAGCUGGCUCUCCAGCCACAAUCUUCCUGCCUCACAACUCCAGGUUCGGAGUAGCUGGCAGAGUACUGAAACCGACUCCGAGUAGACCAAGCUUCAUCCGUGCGUUCACCUCUGAAACAAAUACAUGACUGUUGAGUGGGUGCUCCCCUCACUGAAUGCUCGGUCAGAUGCUCACUGUUGGAUUCCAGCAAAGAGAAUCACUAAGAUCACGUAAAGUGUAGUGUCUCCAAAGAAACUAGGGAAUGUUGCUGGAAGAAGAGGCAGAAAAUGCUGAGAAAAAUGUGCUUAUGGUAGUGUCUGUUUAGGCAUUUAUGGGAUGCCAACUUUACUCAAGAUGUUUUUGGAACUCUUGUCUUUGUAUGGAAAGCAUAUGAAUCACUCCACCAAAAAUAGUAUUAUUAUUCUAUAUUCCUAGUACAUCUUCUACUGAGCAAGGAUUUAUGAAAUUUAAUUAGCCAUCUCACUUGUUAGCCCCACUGUGACUGACUUUUAACUAGUUCCCAAACAGAAAUAAUCUAUGCAGGAAGAGUUUGCUCAUGUUGAGAGUAUUCACAAGAGCAUAGCUGAUAUUCUCAUGUCAAUUCCAGAAGCUUAAGUCUGAAGAUAUUCUGGGAAAAUAUCAGCACCUUUGGCAAAAAUGUGUAAUAUUUCAUGUUGACUGCCCUGAAAGAGUCUACCCUAAUUUGGAGACAGACAGACAGAUAGAUAGAUAGCCUUGUCUAUUUGGGUACAAAAUAUCCCUCUAGAGCAGUAUGGUUACAAGUAUAGGCUUUGGAGCUUGAUUACCUGGGCUUGAAUCCCAGGUUAGCUACUGUGUGAUACUCUCUACCUCAAAAUUUUCAUGUAAAGUAAUAAAAAUAAUAAUUAUAAUA